GUUCCCAAGAGUACGUCUUGGAUCGGAGCCCCCUGAAAGCCGGAAGAGGGACUAAGAGCCAAGACGAGACACUACCUCCUUCUGGGGAGUGAGUUUAGCAAUCCCUCCCGUAGUUCUGCAUCUUUUCCUUUGUCUCUAGGGCCACCAAGUCUUGCUUCUCAUUAAGAAACCAAAAGGCGUUUGAGAACAAUAGCUGGACUGCAGUCUGGCCGCAAAUAUCACCAUCCUAAACCUGAUAUGAAUUUACAGCACACAACCAGCCUUAACCCUUUAUGUAAC
Non-coding RNA from Pelobates cultripes (western spadefoot toad), 279 nucleotides. Lineage: Eukaryota; Metazoa; Chordata; Amphibia; Anura; Pelobatidae. The record is from the annotation of a GenBank genome assembly.